Molecule: ribosomal RNA, 603 nt
Filed under: uncultured fungus
Lineage: Eukaryota; Fungi
Description: eukaryotic LSU rRNA
Rfam family: Eukaryotic large subunit ribosomal RNA
Source: RNAcentral
ACCCGCUGAACUUAAGCAUAUCAAUAAGCGGAGGAAAAGAAACCAACAGGGAUUGCCCUAGUAACGGCGAGUGAAGCGGCAACAGCUCAAAUUUGAAAUCUGGCUCUUUUAGAGUCCGAGUUGUAAUUUGCAGAGGGCGCUUUGGCUUUGGCAGCGGUCCAAGUUCCUUGGAACAGGACGUCACAGAGGGUGAGAAUCCCGUACGUGGUCGCUGGCUAUUGCCGUGUAAAGCCCCUUCGACGAGUCGAGUUGUUUGGGAAUGCAGCUCUAAAUGGGAGGUACAUUUCUUCUAAAGCUAAAUAUUGGCCAGAGACCGAUAGCGCACAAGUAGAGUGAUCGAAAGAUGAAAAGCACUUUGGAAAGAGAGUCAAACAGCACGUGAAAUUGUUGAAAGGGAAGCGCUUGCAGCCAGACUUGCUUACAGUUGCUCAUCCGGGCUUUUGCCCGGUGCACUCUUCUGUAGGCAGGCCAGCAUCGGUUUGGGCGGUAGGAUAAAGGUCUCUGUCACGUACCUCUCUUCGGGGAGGCCUUAUAGGGGAGACGACAUACUACCAGCCUGGACUGAGGUCCGCGCAUCUGCUAGGAUGCUGGCGUAAUGGCUGU